This 426-nucleotide ribosomal RNA is filed under the name uncultured bacterium. RNAcentral describes it as "bacterial SSU rRNA". It matches the Rfam family "Bacterial small subunit ribosomal RNA", at positions 356 to 773 of the family's 1533-position model. The record is from RNAcentral.
GAGGAAUAUUGCGCAAUGGGGGCAACCCUGACGCAGCGACGCCGCGUGAGUGAGGAAGGCCUUCGGGUCGUAAAGCUCUGUCAAAGGGAAAGAAAUGUAUAAUGGCUAAUACCUGUUAUAUUUGACGGUACCCUUAAAGGAAGCACCGGCUAACUCCGUGCCAGCAGCCGCGGUAAUACGGAGGGUGCAAGCGUUGUUCGGAAUCACUGGGCGUAAAGGGCGCGCAGGCGGUUUGGUAAGUCAGAUGUGAAAGCCCACGGCUUAACCGUGGAAGUGCAUUUGAAACUGCCAGACUUGAGUACCAGAGGGGAAAGUGGAAUUCCCGGUGUAGAGGUGAAAUUCGUAGAUAUCGGGAGGAAUACCGGUGGCGAAGGCGACUUUCUGGCUGGAUACUGACGCUGAGGCGCGAAAGCGUGGGGAGCAAAC